CCUACGGGGGGCAGCAGUGAGGAAUAUUGGUCAAUGGACGAGAGUCUGAACCAGCCAAGUAGCGUGAAGGAUGACUGCCCUAUGGGUUGUAAACUUCUUUUAUAUGGGAAUAAUAUGUGCCACGUGUGGGAUUUUGUAUGUACCUUAUGAAUAAGGAUCGGCUAACUCCGUGCCAGCAGCCGCGGUAAUACGGAGGAUACGAGCGUUAUCCGGAUUUAUUGGGGUUAAAGGGAGCGUAGGUGGGUUUUUAAGUCAGUUGUGAAAGUUUGCGGUUUAACCGUGAAUUUGCAGUUGAAACUGGCAGUCUUGAGUACAGUAGAGGUGGGCGGAAUUCGUGGUGUAGCGGUGAAAUGCUUAGAUAUAACGAAGAACUCCGAUUGCGAAGGCAGCUCACUGGACUGCAACUGACACUGAGGCUCGAAAGUGUGGGUAUCAAACAGGAUUAGAUACCCCUGUAGUC
RNAcentral lists this ribosomal RNA (460 nucleotides) under uncultured bacterium. RNAcentral describes it as "partial 16S ribosomal RNA". It matches the Rfam family "Bacterial small subunit ribosomal RNA", at positions 338 to 795 of the family's 1533-position model. The record is from RNAcentral.